This 1317-nucleotide long non-coding RNA is filed under the name Gopherus agassizii (Agassiz's desert tortoise). RNAcentral's name for it is "lncRNA (ENSGAGG00000020392.1)". The record is from RNAcentral. Lineage: Eukaryota; Metazoa; Chordata; Testudines; Testudinidae.
CAGGCACCAGAUUGGAGCAAGCAGCAGUUUAGGAGGAACUGCAGCGGAGUUUGGAAAGUGGGAGGGAAAUAUAUGUAUAUAUUAUUUUUUCUGCACAUAUAUAUUUUCUCCCCGGAAUUAGCUUCAAUUAUAACAAGUGAACAUGUAUAGAAAAGGGUGUUCUGUUGGAAAAUGCUUAAGGCAUUCUCGGAUACGUUUGUUGAAGAGUUGGGCCUAGCAAGAUGGCAGCUCAUGUGCAAUAAGUAUUCCCGUGAAGUGCCACUGCUAAGAAGGACUCCAUUAGCUCCCCAAAAGAAGAUGUGUGAUCAGAAGAGGCAGCUGGUUAGAACCCCUAAUGGCUGCUGGACUACCACGCUUCAUAUUCUUAGUUUAAAAAGUUCCUACUUAAAAAGCGACACAAGAGACAGAACUUGGAGGCUUCACAAGUGAACAGCCAAGAGAAUGAAAAGGCCUUCUAUACUCUUUUUGUUUGUUUCAACAUGACUACAUUAAGCACCUCUGCAUUAUUUUAAAAUCUUCUUGACUAGGAGUAGCAAAGAAUCCUGUGGCACCUUAUAGACUAACAGAUGUUUUGGAGCAUGAGCUUUCGUGGGUGAAUACCCACUUCGUCAGCGGGUAUUCACCCAUGAAAGCUCAUGCUCCAAAACGUGUUAGUCUAUAAGGUGCCACAGGAUUCUUUGCUGCUUUUACAGAUCCAGACUAACACGGCUACCCCUCUGAUACUUGACUAGGAGUGGGAUUUUUCAGAAUUGCCUUCGGGAGUUAGGUGCCAAUGGGAGCUGAGUGUCUAACUAGGCUUACUUUAAAAUCUUAGCCUUCAACUGCUGUAAAUUUUCUGACGUUUGAUUUUUGUUGCAAUUUUGGAGUUAAAUGAAAAAAAAUCUGGAAAAAAAGUCAACUAAAGUUUGGUAUGUUUUUUGACCAGUUCUAUUAUCGAUAAAUGUUUCUCUAUGCAACCCAAAGAAAGAGUAGCCAUAACUGCUGUUGUAAAUGCCCUUGUUUCGUCCUAUCUGCAGUUUUAAUUUUGAGGACAUAGUGGGCUACUGAUUUUGCUCCUGUACAUUUUCCCUCACAGAUACCUGCAGGUGCACUUUGUACAACUUAGACGUCUAUGCAUUAUUGCCAACCUCAGGCCUCCAAAAUUGAGAGAUUAUCUUAAGUCACGAGAUUUUUUUUAAAAUAUACAUUUUGGAUUUGCUUUAUUUGCCUUACAGUUUUAGAAUAUUUAGGUUACAGUUGGGUCACAUGUUCAACCUUUACUCUGCAACCAUAAGGGCUAGGAACUUUUUUUAAAAAAUAAAAGCUGAGAUUGUCACA